AUACUUAUGUGGCAGGAGGAGAUACUAUGAUCACAAAGGUGGUUUUCCCAGGGCGAGGCUUAUCCAUUGCACUCCAGAUGUGCUGACCCCUGCGAUUUCCCCAAAUGUGGGAAACUCGACUGCAUGAUUUGUGGUAGUGGGGGACUGCAUUUGUGCUUUCCCCUU
Small nuclear RNA from Callithrix jacchus (white-tufted-ear marmoset), 165 nucleotides. Its record names the gene U1. It matches the Rfam family "U1 spliceosomal RNA". Rfam says of the family: U1 is a small nuclear RNA (snRNA) component of the spliceosome (involved in pre-mRNA splicing). Its 5' end forms complementary base pairs with the 5' splice junction, thus defining the 5' donor site of an intron. The record is from Ensembl. NCBI's taxonomy places the organism in Eukaryota, Metazoa, Chordata, Mammalia, Primates, Cebidae.